GACCACUCUGGUGGCCUAGUGGUUAGAGUGUAUGUCUCGGAUGUGGGAGUUCGUGGGUUUGAACCCCGUCCAAGUCA
Potamilus streckersoni is the source of this 77-nucleotide non-coding RNA. The record is from the annotation of a GenBank genome assembly. NCBI's taxonomy places the organism in Eukaryota, Metazoa, Mollusca, Bivalvia, Unionida, Unionidae.